CAAGUCGGCCGGGCGGCCGCGGGCGCACGCCCGAGGAAAGUCCGGACACCACAGGGCAGAGUGGUGGGUAACGCCCACCCGGGGUGACCCGCGGGAAAGUGCCACAGAAAACAGACCGCCCCGCUGCUGCGGGGUAAGGGUGAAACGGCGGUGUAAGAGACCACCAGCGCCACAGGUGACUGCGGCGGCUCGGCAAACCCCACUCGGUGCAAGAUCAAGAGGGCCGGCGGCAGUCGGCCUGCGCAGACGGACGGCCCGUCCGAUGUCUGCGGGUAGGUCGCAACAGGCCGUCGGCGACGGCGGUCGCAGAUGGAUGGUCGCCCCCGCGCAAGCGGGACAGAAUCCGGCUUACAGGCCGGCUUGUCAC
Molecule: RNase P RNA, 367 nt
Filed under: Actinomycetes bacterium
Lineage: Bacteria; Bacillati; Actinomycetota; Actinomycetes
Description: Actinobacteria bacterium RNase P RNA component class A
Rfam family: Bacterial RNase P class A
About the family: Ribonuclease P (RNase P) is a ubiquitous endoribonuclease, found in archaea, bacteria and eukarya as well as chloroplasts and mitochondria. Its best characterised activity is the generation of mature 5'-ends of tRNAs by cleaving the 5'-leader elements of precursor-tRNAs.
Source: RNAcentral